This 232-nucleotide unclassified non-coding RNA is filed under the name Hevea brasiliensis (rubber tree). The record is from RNAcentral. Lineage: Eukaryota; Viridiplantae; Streptophyta; Magnoliopsida; Malpighiales; Euphorbiaceae.
UUGUUUUGCAAUGCACGCAUAGCAGUUCGAGCCGCGCGGAUAUCAUAAUAAGAUAUCAUCACAAAACCCCUGUGUUUACAUGCAGUGUAGAGAGUUCUAAUGUUGCCAUAUUGCUCAAAGAGGGUUCUCAGUUCUAUGUCUUCAACAUUACUAUUAAUAUUUCGAACAAAUAAUGUUCUUGAAGGAUGUUCACCAUAAGGAUGUUCUCCAGCAACUGUUCCCACACCAUUUG